Molecule: ribosomal RNA, 465 nt
Filed under: uncultured bacterium
Lineage: Bacteria
Description: partial 16S ribosomal RNA
Rfam family: Bacterial small subunit ribosomal RNA
Source: RNAcentral
CCUACGGGAGGCAGCAGUAGGGAAUCUUCCACAAUGGGCGAAAGCCUGAAGGAGCAACGCCGCGUGGGUGAAGAAGGUCUUCGGAUCGUAAAACCCUGUUGUUAGAGGAGAAAGUGCGUGAGAGUAACUGUUCACGUUUCGACGGUAUCUAACCAGAAAGCCACGGCUAACUACGUGCCAGCAGCCGCGGUAAUGCGUAGGUGGCAAGCGUUAUCCGGAUUUGUUGGGCGUAAAGGGAACGCAGGUGGUCUUUUAAGUCUGAUGUGAAAGCCUUCGGCUUAACCGGAGUAGUGCAUUGGAAACUGGGAGCCUUGAGUGCAGAAGAGGAGAGUGGAACUCGAUGUGUAGCGGUGAAAUGCGUAGAUAUAUGGAAGAACACCAGUGGCGAAAGCAGCUCUCUGGUCUGUAACUGACGCUGAGGUUCGAAAGCGUGGGUAGCAAACAGGAUUAGAUACCCUUGUAGUC